AAGCGCAAAACAGAGGUAAGGGUCUGAUCAUAUGACAAAUUGUGCAUAUCAACUUCAUUGAAAGAAAACACCCUGGCAAAUUACUGAAAAAGUCUUAUUUUAGAAUUCACUACAGGUGACAAUUUUCAUAACAUGAAAAAUAUACAUCAGUACUUUGUCUUUGUACAUUAGGCAAGUAAACUGCAAUAUUCCAUCAGAGCCAGAAUUAAAUAAAAAUAAAAAAAAGAGGGGAGAAUUGGGGAUCAAAGAAAAAGGGAGAGAAAAAAAAAACAGGGCACAUACACACUUUCACACCAUUUAAAUCAAACCCCAGAAACGACCAACAACGAAACCUAAAGUUAAAGCAUGCAUUUGAAAUCCUACCUAGUACACCACCAAAAACAAAACAAGUGCUGCAAAUUAAUCUGCUUCAUCCAGAGGAAUACAGGAGAAAUUGCUCCCCACAUCAUCACCCUAACACUCUUUAGAAAAUAACAAAAAUACAAAAUAAAAACAGACAACAGUGGACAACACACCCAAGGUAAGGUUAUUGCUACAAUGAACUGUUACCAAUAUUUGAAUUAUACAUCGUCUUGGUGUGUAAGAUUAUAAAAAAAGAAAAUGCACGCUCAUACAUACACACUCAAGCAAUGUUGUUUAGCAAUUUCCCCAGACUUUUCCAAAACUAACUCUGGUUCAAAACCGGGUGCAAUUGCCAAGCAAUUUAAUAGUAGGCACUUCAGAAAGAAAAAAGACAAAUUUAAAAACAUAACUAUGAGCUUAAUUUGUGCAUGCGUGACUUAAAACGGACACACCUGAACACGACAAAUGGGGGUAAUGUCAGCCAUGGUGGGUGGUGGGGUGGGUCUCAGCGCGGUGUUAAAAUACUAAAUAAAGACGCACGUAUAACCUCAUUCAUUUGUUAAAUGGUGACUUCCAGAAGCUUCCCCUGAAGUGCUUCGGGCGAAGGAACCCAACAGGACAAGUAGGCUACAGAUCUGCGUGUUUUCCAGUGCAUCCACAGACACAAGUGUAGAUACAAUUUUGGCCUUAAAACUCAUGUCAGUCUAGAAACAACCCCUGCACUUCUCCAAUACUGGCAACCUAGAAGAUCAAACUCCAACCAUUCUGCUUUCUACAAGACCCCGUCCAUCAAAGCAACCUGCAACAGACCUAUGCUAGUGCACACUAGAGCGGAGUUUGAUGAGAGAAAUGGACUAAAAACAUAAAGAACUUACAGGGUUUCAAUUCUAACUAGAAAGGCGCCAUUUAAGUGUCUUGCUGGAUGUACAGGAACAGUUAAUAUAUUAUCCGGUUUUAUUUCUGUGCUAUAUACAGAUCUUUACAAUAUCUUCCUGAAAAGGUUGAAGCAUUUCAUAGACUUCAAAAAAUGCAUUAUUAAUCUUUUAUGUAGUUGUUGAGUUGGCACUUGCUUGGCAGCUUUCAGUCAGCCUCUGGUAACUGCUGUUAUGUUCUAUGGCAGGCCUAUUGUUGCCAAACUUUUUCUGCCAAAUGCAAUGAAGACAAGCUGGCAAAUAGGGUGGCAGAGCACAGGAAAACAAUGCCAUGUUGUUUCUCAACUGGAGACCUG
Molecule: long non-coding RNA, 1570 nt
Organism: Esox lucius (northern pike)
Lineage: Eukaryota; Metazoa; Chordata; Actinopteri; Esociformes; Esocidae
Source: Ensembl